Molecule: non-coding RNA, 248 nt
Filed under: Ligilactobacillus apodemi
Lineage: Bacteria; Bacillati; Bacillota; Bacilli; Lactobacillales; Lactobacillaceae
Description: Lactobacillus apodemi T-box sequence
Rfam family: T-box leader
About the family: Uncharged tRNA acts as the effector for transcription antitermination of genes in the T-box leader family. T-boxes are found upstream of many aminoacyl-tRNA synthetase genes and some amino acid biosynthetic genes usually in Gram-positive bacteria.
Source: RNAcentral
UGAAACACGUUGAAGAGAAGAGUAACUUUGAUGGAUUACCUUUUAAGCGAGUCUCAGUUAGUGUAAGGAGAUAAGGGUCUGUCUCAGUGAAAGUAAGCUCUGAGUGGUCAAUGCGACGCCAAUUAGCGAAGUUUUGAAUGGGUGCGCCCUUUAUAGCGUCAACGUCUUGCAUUUGCAGUACGGGGUAAGGUGAAAAUAGUGAUAUUUUCAUGAAUAAAGGUGGUAACGCGCUAAUUGGCGUCCUUUCA